RNAcentral lists this ribosomal RNA (293 nucleotides) under uncultured bacterium. RNAcentral describes it as "partial 16S ribosomal RNA". It matches the Rfam family "Bacterial small subunit ribosomal RNA", at positions 773 to 1060 of the family's 1533-position model. The record is from RNAcentral.
GUGGAUUAGAUACCCUGGUAGUCCACGCCGUAAACGAUGGGUGCUAGGUGUAGGAGGUAUCGACCCCUUCUGUGCCGUAGUUAACACAAUAAGCACCCCGCCUGGGGAGUACGGCCGCAAGGUUGAAACUCAAAGGAAUUGACGGGGGCCCGCACAAGCGGUGGAGCAUGUGGUUUAAUUCGACGCAACGCGAAGAACCUUACCAGGGCUUGACAUCCUCUGACCGCAUAUGAAAGUAUGUUUUCUGGCUUCGGUCAGACAGAGAGACAGGUGGUGCAUGGUUGUCGUCAGCU